Molecule: ribosomal RNA, 451 nt
Filed under: uncultured bacterium
Lineage: Bacteria
Description: partial 16S ribosomal RNA
Rfam family: Bacterial small subunit ribosomal RNA
Source: RNAcentral
AGCGAACGCUGGCGGCAGGCCUAAUACAUGCAAGUCGAGCGGCCGUAGCAAUACGGCAGCGGCAGACGGGAGAGUAACACGUGGGAACGUACCUUUCGGUUCGGAACAACCCAGGGAAACUUGGGCUAAUACCGGAUACGGUCGUAAGGAGAAAGAUUUAUCGCCGAAAGAUCGGCCCGCGUCUGAUUAGCUUGUUGGUGAGGUAACGGAUCACCAAGGCGACGAUCAGUAGCUGGUCUGAGAGGAUGAUCAGCCUCACUGGGACUGAGACACGGCCCAGACUCCUACGGGAGGCAGCAGUAGGGAAUAUUGGACAAUGGGCGCAAGCCUGAUCCAGCCAUGCCGCGUGAGUGAUGAAGGCCCUAGGGUUGUAAAGCUCUUUCGGCGGGGAAGAUAAUGACGGUACCCGCAGAGGAAGCCCCGGCUAACUUCGUGCCAGCCGCCGCGGUAA